RNAcentral lists this long non-coding RNA (2912 nucleotides) under Homo sapiens (human). RNAcentral describes it as "non-protein coding lnc-OGFRL1-5:1". The record is from RNAcentral. Lineage: Eukaryota; Metazoa; Chordata; Mammalia; Primates; Hominidae.
UGUGCCACAGAGAAAAAAUAGGUUUAAGAACUUUGACUUAGGAGUAAGUCAAAGAUGCCCUGACACAUACUAGUUAGAAUGGCAAACAAUUUUUUAAUAAUGAAAAAUGCCAAGUUUUGUUUAGAAUGUGGAAGAACUGGGAUGCUCAUUCACCGAUAGUGGGAUGUAAAUUGUUACAGGCAUAACGACUUUGGAAAACAAUUUGUCAGUAUCUAUUAAAGCAGAACAUACAUAUACCCUGUGGCCUGGCAAUUAGCUUCUGGGUGGAUGCUCAAUUGGAGUGUGUACAUAUGUGCACCAAAAGACAAACUAUUCAUAAUAUCUUCAAACUGCCCAUCAAUAGCAGAAGUCAUAAAUAUGGUGUAUUCAAGGAUGGAAUUCUACAUAGUAAUAAGUGGAGCUAUCUUUAAUUCUAAAAGCUAUAACUUUGUGGUUCAAAGAGGGAGGCACACAUUUAUCAAGGCAAUAUGUCUGGCAGAGUCUGAUUGCUGUUUCCCACCUGCACCAGAAGGCUUGGACUGGAUGCUGUUCUUCUGUGUCUUGGGGCCUCAGGGGUGGUUUGUUGAAAUGACUUGGCUUUUAAGGAAAGCAGAUGAGCAGCUAACGUUGGCUAACAUUUAUUGAAUAUUUGCUUUGUGCCAAGCACUGUACUAAGCAGAGCUGCUUUGAGGGAGAGGAGAAGCCGGUUCAAAUUACUAGAAUCUAGUGGUCUGGAGGGAGGCCUUGGAUAUGUCGAUAUUGAAUAUCAAUGCAAAUCCUCAAGAUAUAUAUAUUUUUUAGUUGGAUGACCCUGUUGAUGGGGAUUUUGAAUUACUUUUCUUUGGUUUCCAAUCUUUGAAGUAGGAAGUGUUGUAUUUUAAAGAGCAUAAAACAAAUUCACAAAAGGUUAAGUGAUUUGCUCAAUGUCACAUAGCUAAUAAGAGACCUAGACAGGAUGUGAACCCAGCUAGACUGACUCCAGAGGCUAAGACAUUAGCAACUAAACUAUGCUGACUAAUGGUUGUUUAUUUUUAUGUCACCAAAGUCCAAACAGGACAGAGUAAGAUGAGGAUGGACAAGCCACAGUGCAAAUGCAGAAGGACCUAAAUGUUGGAAAUUAAUCCAGAUAGCAAAUGAUACCUAGGUCAAAGAGUCUUGGCAAUCUCUGGUAAAUAUUUUUCCCAGAAGGUUUCAAACAUAAUUCAAGUUUAUUUAAAAGUCUAAAUCAGUUUCUCAGAGCAGAUAAACUCCGACUCCCGCUUGAGAAAAGAACUCAAUCAUUUUAUCUUGUUUUUGGAGCAACUAACUUGCCCACCUCACAGCAGGGAAAGGUUUGCUGUUUUUUUUUCUUUUUAAGAGUCAGUGGGGUUAUAGCCAUAGGCAUUUGCAGAAGCAUUAACUGCUACUGUGUGAGGACAUUUGCAGCCCCAAGUUAAGCUUUCUAUUUUUCUUUCUGGGUCUCUUUCAGAGCCCUGGUAAAAAGAUUUUUUAGUAUAUAUCCAAAAACCCAAGACAAGGGCCCUCACUUGAUCUGAAUUUAUGAUGGCCACAUUACACUUGCUGACUACCCCAUGAUAUCUCUGCAAUGAAGAGUAAUGCUUUACAAGUAUCGCUGUGUGUGUGUGUGUGUGUGUGUGUGUGUGUGUGUGUUUCAGAACAAAUGUUUUAAUUCAGGAUUUAGGUGACUGCUCCUUUUAGAAAAAGAAGGUGCCAGUAGAAACUGAAAUACAAGGAACUCAGCUAGUGGUCAGGAAGGAGCUUAGCUGGAGGUGGCGACUGUUUCGUCAGAAGUUAGUAUCUGGUUGUCAUUGUCAUUUGCAUAAAAUAAGUCAUUUUAUUUUUUUUAUUUACAUGAAACACAGAUUUCAUGUUAAUGUGACUUGUCAACUACCUAGUUAACUGACAAUUAGCUGCCACUGCUGAUAAUUUUGUAGAUUAAUGAGAUGAAAGGUAUAAAUGUUCUUCAAGGAGAAUUGCACACAUACUCAAUACACACAUAUUUAAAGGGUUUGGGACAUUCUAAAGUCACCUCUGAACCAGAUCAAUAACCUCCUUCAUUGAUUCCAUUAUGUGAUCAAAGAUGGCAUUUGCCACCUACAUUUGGUGGUAGAUUAUCCCCAGUAAGUCUUUUAGAAGAUGACAUCUUCACCCCCAGUGUCUUUCUUUAGUACUGAUAAUCAAGGAUUUUGUGAAUUAGCAGGAUUUACUGGCUGUUGAGUGCAUAUCAGUUCAAGUCCUCCAAGAAGCUGAUGCCAAGACAGGACUAGAUACACAAGAAAUUUAUGGGGAGGAAACUCCUGUGAAGGGUAAAGGAGGAGGGAGCUUUUUUUUUUUCAAUACAAUAUUUAUAGGCAUCGUAAUUGUUCAAUAAGGGGAUGGGGUGGAGUUAACAUCCACAGAUAUUGAAUAGAUCAGCUUUAUAACACAACCUUUACCUUUUGCCCUGGGCCAAUGAACAUCAUCAUCAUCAUCAAAACAAUAAGAUAUUAAUAUUUCAGUGUGGAGCCCAUACUACUCAUCAAAAUGCCACAGAAGCCAUGCUAGUAUUGAGUGCCUCUUCCAGCUUGUGGUCUCCGUAGGAUUAAGUCCUAAGAUGGAUGUCCAGUUUUCAUUUUCCUCCUGUUCCAACCAAGACCAAGAGGGCUAUGGGAUCUUUCUCUCAUGUCCACUGCAUGGGGAGAGAAUGAACAAAAGACAAUGGAGGAUUCUUUUCACUAAACAGUGGAACAGGAGAUGGGCUACUCUCCCUUGGGUUGUGUUCUCUGGGGGAGUGAGAUGCAGUAGAAGUGCACUGGGUGGGAGAACAAAGAGGUCUGAGAGAGUAAAGGGGCAGGGACAGGACGGGGCACUAAAUUUAGAUUUAACUGUGCAAUGUCUUUUCCAUUGUUUGCUUUUUCAUGUAUUUAUUGUUUUAUUCAAUUAUUAUAGAGUGG